RNAcentral lists this ribosomal RNA (519 nucleotides) under uncultured eukaryote. Its description in RNAcentral is "bacterial SSU rRNA". It matches the Rfam family "Eukaryotic small subunit ribosomal RNA", at positions 1161 to 1648 of the family's 1831-position model. The record is from RNAcentral.
AGGGCACCACCAGGAGUGGAGCCUGCGGCUUAAUUUGACUCAACACGGGAAAACUUACCUGGUCAGGACACUGGAAGGAUUGACAGAUUGAGAGCUCUUUCUUGAUUCAGUAGGUGGUGGUGCAUGGCCGUUCUUAGUUGGUGGAGCGAUUUGUCUGGUUAAUUCCGAUAACGAACGAGACUCUAGCCUACUAAAUAGACUGCUCAACUUUAUAGCUGCAUCACCUUGCAGUGGCUCCGGUUGCUGUAAGGCUGUGGUGACGUUGGCAGUGCUUCUUAGAGGGACAGGCGGCGGUUCAGCCGCACGAAACAGAGCAAUAACAGGUCUGUGAUGCCCUUAGAUGUCCAGGGCCUCACGCGCGCUACACUGAAGUGAUCAGCGUGCAAUUAACGUUUCCUACUCCGUCAGGAGUGGGUAACCCGUUGAACCUUCUUCGUGAUUGGGAUAGGGGAUUGUAAUUAUUCCCCUUGAACGAGGGAAUUCCCAGUAAGCGCAAGUCAUAAAGCUUGCGUUGAUUAC